This 1332-nucleotide ribosomal RNA is filed under the name uncultured bacterium. RNAcentral's name for it is "bacterial SSU rRNA". It matches the Rfam family "Bacterial small subunit ribosomal RNA", at positions 28 to 1381 of the family's 1533-position model. The record is from RNAcentral.
GACGAACGCUGGCGGCGCGCCUAACACAUGCAAGUCGAACGAGCAAAGAGAAGCUUGCUUCUCUGAGCGAGUGGCGAACGGGUGAGUAACGCGUGAGGAACCUGCCUCAAAGAGGGGGACAACAGUUGGAAACGACUGCUAAUACCGCAUAAGCCCACGGGUCGGCAUCGACCAGGGGGAAAAGGAGCAAUCCGCUUUGAGAUGGCCUCGCGUCCGAUUAGCUAGUUGGUGAGGUAACGGCCCACCAAGGCGACGAUCGGUAGCCGGACUGAGAGGUUGAACGGCCACAUUGGGACUGAGACACGGCCCAGACUCCUACGGGAGGCAGCAGUGGGGAAUAUUGCACAAUGGGGGAAACCCUGAUGCAGCGACGCCGCGUGGAGGAAGAAGGUCUUCGGAUUGUAAACUCCUGUUGUUGAGGAAGAUAAUGACGGUACUCAACAAGGAAGUGACGGCUAACUACGUGCCAGCAGCCGCGGUAAAACGUAGGUCACAAGCGUUGUCCGGAAUUACUGGGUGUAAAGGGAGCGCAGGCGGGAAGACAAGUUGGAAGUGAAAUCCAUGGGCUCAACCCAUGAACUGCUUUCAAAACUGUUUUUCUUGAGUAGUGCAGAGGUAGGCGGAAUUCCCGGUGUAGCGGUGGAAUGCGUAGAUAUCGGGAGGAACACCAGUGGCGAAGGCGGCCUACUGGGCACCAACUGACGCUGAGGCUCGAAAGUGUGGGUAGCAAACAGGAUUAGAUACCCUGGUAGUCCACACCGUAAACGAUGAUUACUAGGUGUUGGAGGAUUGACCCCUUCAGUGCCGCAGUUAACACAAUAAGUAAUCCACCUGGGGAGUACGACCGCAAGGUUGAAACUCAAAGGAAUUGACGGGGGCCCGCACAAGCAGUGGAGUAUGUGGUUUAAUUCGACGCAACGCGAAGAACCUUACCAAGUCUUGACAUCCUGCGACGGAUAUAGAAAUAUAUCUUUCCUUCGGGACGCAGAGACAGGUGGUGCAUGGUUGUCGUCAGCUCGUGUCGUGAGAUGUUGGGUUAAGUCCCGCAACGAGCGCAACCCUUAUGGUCAGUUACUACGCAAGAGGACUCUGGCCAGACUGCCGUUGACAAAACGGAGGAAGGUGGGGAUGACGUCAAAUCAUCAUGCCCUUUAUGACUUGGGCUACACACGUACUACAAUGGCGUUAAACAAAGAGAAGCAAGACCGCGAGGUGGAGCAAAACUCAGAAACAACGUCCCAGUUCGGACUGCAGGCUGCAACUCGCCUGCACGAAGUCGGAAUUGCUAGUAAUCGUGGAUCAGCAUGCCACGGUGAAUACGUUCCCGGGCCU